UUUCUGUGGCCUCUAUAGUUCGGCUCAACACCUAUAUUCCAUCUAAGACAAAGGCACCACUUCAAUGACAGAUUACCAGCCUUUGGCUGGGAAAGAUGAGACUGCUGCUUGAAUGUAGACCUCUAGGCAGAGCUGAAUAUCCCUUAGAAAACUACUGGUGGGCUAAAAGGUGUGAACUGGAACAUGAAGAUUGAAAAUGAAACAGGCAUAUAUCCAGCUUAAGGACUGAGUCCAUCCAUCAAUCCUGGAAAACAGUAUUUAUAAUAAUCUCUUAAGUCAAUGCACUAGGACUCUUUAGCCCCUUUUAUACGUAGCUCUUUUCUAUUUUUUGUGGAGUAUAUGAGGUCACAUAGGGCAAUUGAGAGGCUAUGAAUACCUCCAAAGGGUCCAGCUCUUCUUACAGCAGGUGAUAUGCAGAAAUGGUGACAGGAAAACCAAAACUAAUAGUCCAUUACUCCUUUCUCUUUUAAUCACUUUUCUUGGCUUUUACUAGCUCCAGAGUUUGAAAUAGGUCUCUUUAAUCACACCUAUAAAAAGCUCUAGAAAUCUCAUCCAACAAUUUCCAAACACCUUGAGAUGUAAAACUUCUGUCUCCAUUUCUAGAGAAGACAAUUGAAGCCUAAGAAAACAUUAGAUCUUGGUAGGACAGAAUUUGAUACUGUCAAGCAUUUUAAGUAACAGGAUCAUGAGGUUAAAUAAAAUAUCAAAUAAAUUGUGACGGCUUGGGUCUUAUGGCAGCUACUUCACUGCCCUGGUAGCUAUGAGUUCAAACAUCUUAGUGCCGCCCUGCAAAAUCCACUGCCUGUUUUGCUCUUUGUUGCUCUUCCUUUCCCUUUUUGCAGGGAAAUAUAAACAGCAGGCAAAAACAAGUGGUGGGGUGGUCAGCCAAGGGACACAAUGAGCUGAUGGAUGAUACAACUUCCAAACUGUAAACAGCUUAUUUUAUUUCCUUUCGCAAGUCUUUCCCUAAACAUCAGACUUCAUUUUCUCAUUUAGAAUCUUGAAUCUGUAAAACUAGGUGACUUAAAAAGGCAUUUUAAUAGUAUUAAUUCUUUAUUAUUUAUGAGAAAGGGCAGCCAAGUUAGACAAAGCCAGCUAAGGCCACAAGAAAUUAUUGUUUCAAUUCUGUUAAAUAAAUUAUCAAUCGUUUUCUCUGUUAUUUUUUGUUUAUUUUAAUUUUAAAAUACAUUUUAGCCACUUUUUUAUGUAUGGGAGAUACAAAGGUACAUGUUAGGUAAGGAUUCUGCCACUGAGUUUUAUCCCUAGACCUUGGUUGUUUUCUUUUUUGUUUGAGAAAGGGUCAUAUUACAUAGUCUAGAUUGACUUUAGGCCUGAGGUUCUCCUACCUCUGUCUAUGAAAGCUUGUAUUCACACAUGUACUAUCAUACCUGGCUACAACCACAAUUUUUGAGCAUUUGUUAGGUAACACAUACUAAAUUAAUGGCUUUAUAUGCAUUAUCACAUAUCCUCACCCUGAUUUCUAGCACAUUUUUGUGGCUAUAAAAAACCUAGGUUUAAGGGACAUAAACUCAUUUAUUUAAGGUGUUCAGCUAGUUAAUGGUAGAGAUCGAAUUUAAGUAUAGUUUUAAGAAUCAAUAUCUAGGUACAUAACUAAGAUGAACAUGGCAUGAGAGAAGUUGGUAGGAGGAGGGAACACAGAUAUUGUCUCUGAGGCUUUUCACAUCAUGGAGGCAGAAUGAUGACAAAAUUUUCAUGUUUCACCUAAAUACAAGAGCUAAUUGAGGCAUGGGCACUAGAAUCUCCAGACAAACACUCAGGAUCCUUGUUUUAGUUUGGAGCUUUAGCCUGUUUUGUUCACUUCCCUCUUUUGGUGUCUUAGCCAGUUAUGUUAGUGUCUGCCAUUUGUCUCACGCUCAGGGUAAGACAUAAUUGCCCCAUUUUUUUCUCUUUUCAGGUGCACAUCUUCCAGCAUGUUCUUGCUGCCCAGUGGAGGCUCCUGAUCUGGCCUUCAGCAGUGUCACGCUCCGUGUAUUUGACAAGCUGAGUUGGACACUCUGUGUGGUAGAGUGUCAGUUUGUCAAAUACCCCAAGUGUGGCUCAUGCCUAUCAGCUCCAGGUCCAGGACAGAGCAAAUAGACUGCUGACUAUAUACAAAUGCUUAUGAAACAUGAAGCUCUCUGGCUUUGAGGGAACUACAACAUUUAUUCAGAGGACAUCAGAAUAAGAGCGAUGCAGCUUUGGGGGUCUACCAGUCUUGUAUGCAUCUCUGUACAUUGUGAAGAUGCACAGUGGUCUUGAAAAUACAUAAGAGAUACUGGUAAUGAGAGUAUUAUUUGAUUUAAUAUUAAUGUCUUCUUUCACAUUCCUCUUCUUGCAGCCAGGACAGGAGAAUUUUCAUACAAGCAUCAUGAAUUCCAUGAGAAAGUAGGAAAUAAAUAUUCACGGUCUGGCCUUUGGAGCACAUCUUAACCUCACCUACAUUUUCUCUUUUCCUCUUUGCUUUUAUCCUCCUUAAAACAACCUUCUUAUUUCUCUUCCCUGGACUUUCAGACCCUGCCACAUUCUAAUUUCUCUGGGCACUAUUGAAAGUUACCCUAUACUUUUCUUUACUCCUUGGCUAAAUACAUAUUGAUAUGUGCUCUUACAUGUCCUACCAUCCAAUAUAUCCUCUGACAUCAGUGAAUUUUUACCAUGGUAUGUUCUUGAAUUCCCUAUUAUAUUGUAAGAGUCUAGACCUUAUUAUACUUGCUUGAUUGCUGUCUCUCCUACCAUUGUCCAACAUUUUAAUUAUUUAAUAAAUGUUUACCAAUUAA
Molecule: non-coding RNA, 2774 nt
Organism: Arvicanthis niloticus (Nile rat)
Lineage: Eukaryota; Metazoa; Chordata; Mammalia; Rodentia; Muridae
Source: RefSeq, a predicted model, not a curated record